RNAcentral lists this ribosomal RNA (368 nucleotides) under uncultured organism. RNAcentral's name for it is "bacterial SSU rRNA". It matches the Rfam family "Bacterial small subunit ribosomal RNA", at positions 526 to 896 of the family's 1533-position model. The record is from RNAcentral.
CGGAGGAUCCAAGCGUUAUCCGGAAUCAUUGGGUUUAAAGGGUCCGUAGGCGGUCUUAUAAGUCAGUGGUGAAAUCCGGCAGCUCAACUGUCGAACUGCCAUUGAUACUGUAAGACUUGAAUUACUGUGAAGUAACUAGAAUAUGUAGUGUAGCGGUGAAAUGCUUAGAUAUUACAUGGAAUACCAAUUGCGAAGGCAGGUUACUAACAUUAUAUUGACGCUGAUGGACGAAAGCGUGGGUAGCGAACAGGAUUAGAUACCCUGGUAGUCCACGCCGUAAACGAUGGAUACUAGCUGUUCGGAUGCAAAUCUGAGUGGCUAAGCGAAAGUGAUAAGUAUCCCACCUGGGGAGUACGAACGCAAGUUUG